RNAcentral lists this ribosomal RNA (253 nucleotides) under uncultured bacterium. RNAcentral's name for it is "partial 16S ribosomal RNA". It matches the Rfam family "Bacterial small subunit ribosomal RNA", at positions 524 to 776 of the family's 1533-position model. The record is from RNAcentral.
UACGGAGACUACAAGCGUUACUCGGAUUUACUGGGCGUAAAGGGCGCGUAGGCGGCGUGUUAAGUCAGCUGUGAAAUCUCCAAGCUCAACUUGGAACGGCCAGCUGAUACUGAUGUGCUAGAGUGCAGAAGGGGCAAUCGGAAUUCUUGGUGUAGCGGUGAAAUGCGUAGAUAUCAAGAGGAACACCUGAGGUGAAGACGGGUUGCUGGGCUGACACUGACGCUGAGGAGCGAAAGCGUGGGGAGCGAACAGG